RNAcentral lists this ribosomal RNA (492 nucleotides) under uncultured bacterium. RNAcentral's name for it is "partial 16S ribosomal RNA". It matches the Rfam family "Bacterial small subunit ribosomal RNA", at positions 29 to 507 of the family's 1533-position model. The record is from RNAcentral.
AGUGAACGCUGGCGGUAGGCCUAACACAUGCAAGUCGAACGGCAGCACAGUAAGAGCUUGCUCUUACGGGUGGCGAGUGGCGGACGGGUGAGGAAUACAUCGGAAUCUACUUUUUCGUGGGGGAUAACGUAGGGAAACUUACGCUAAUACCGCAUACGACCUACGGGUGAAAGCAGGGGAUCUUCUGACCUUGCGCGAUUGAAUGAGCCGAUGUCGGAUUAGCUAGUUGGCGGGGCAAAGGCCCACCAAGGCGACGAUCCGUAGCUGGUCUGAGAGGAUGAUCAGCCACACUGGAAGUGAGACACGGUCCAGACUCCUACGGGAGGCAGCAGUGGGGAAUAUUGGACAAUGGGGGAAAGCCUGAUACAGCAAUACCGCGUGGGUGAUGAAGGCGUUCGGGUUGUAAAGCCCUUUUGUUGGGAAAGAAGAACAGCAGGUUAAUACGCCGCUGUUCUGACGGUACCCAAAGAAUAAGCACCGGCUAACUUCGUG